UAGGGAAUCUUCCGCAAUGGACGCAAGUCUGACGGAGCAACGCCGCGUGAGUGAAGAAGGAUUUCGGUUCGUAAAACUCUGUUGUUAGAGAAGAACAGCGCAUAGAGUAACUGUUAUGCGUGUGACGGUAUCUAACCAGAAAGCCACGGCUAACUACGUGCCAGCAGCCGCGGUAAUACGUAGGUGGCAAGCGUUGUCCGGAUUUAUUGGGCGUAAAGCGAGCGCAGGCGGUCAAUUAAGUCUGAUGUGAAAGCCCCCGGCUCAACCGGGGAGGGUCAUUGGAAACUGGUUGACUUGAGUGCAGAAGAGGAGAGUGGAAUUCCAUGUGUGACGGUGAAAUGCGUAGAUAUAUGGAGGAACACCGGUGGCGAAAGCGGCUCUCUGGUCUGUAACUGACGCUGAGGCUCGAAAGCGUGGGGAGCGAACAGG
RNAcentral lists this ribosomal RNA (429 nucleotides) under Bacteroidota bacterium. RNAcentral's name for it is "Bacteroidetes bacterium partial 16S ribosomal RNA". It matches the Rfam family "Bacterial small subunit ribosomal RNA", at positions 355 to 776 of the family's 1533-position model. Lineage: Bacteria; Pseudomonadati; Bacteroidota. The record is from RNAcentral.